Molecule: ribosomal RNA, 254 nt
Filed under: uncultured bacterium
Lineage: Bacteria
Description: partial 16S ribosomal RNA
Rfam family: Bacterial small subunit ribosomal RNA
Source: RNAcentral
UACGUAGGGUGCGAGCGUUAAUCGGAAUUACUGGGCGUAAAGCGUGCGCAGGCGGUUUUGUAAGACAGGUGUGAAAUCCCCGGGCUUAACCUGGGAACUGCAUUGGUGACUGGCAGGCUUUGAGUGUGGCAGAGGGAGGUAGAAUUCCACGUGUAGCAGUGAAAUGCGUAGAGAUGUGGAGGAAUACCGAUGGCGAAGGCAGCCUCCUGGGCCAACACUGACGCUCAUGCACGAAAGCGUGGGGAGCAAACAGG